RNAcentral lists this non-coding RNA (253 nucleotides) under uncultured bacterium. RNAcentral's name for it is "partial 16S ribosomal RNA". It matches the Rfam family "Bacterial small subunit ribosomal RNA", at positions 524 to 776 of the family's 1533-position model. RNAcentral also lists the same sequence under 2 other names. The record is from RNAcentral.
UACGUAGGGUGCGAGCGUUGUCCGGAAUUAUUGGGCGUAAAGGGCUCGUAGGCGGUUUGUCGCGUCGGGAGUGAAAACGCCGUGCUUAACACGGCGCUUGCUUUCGAUACGGGCAGACUAGAGGUAUUCAGGGGAGAACGGAAUUCCUGGUGUAGCGGUGAAAUGCGCAGAUAUCAGGAGGAACACCGGUGGCGAAGGCGGUUCUCUGGGAAUGACCUGACGCUGAGGAGCGAAAGUGUGGGGAGCGAACAGG